UUACCACNUUGACAUCGCAGAGAUUAGUUCGCUGACAGGUGCUGCAUGGCUGUCGUCAGCUCGUGUCGUGAGAUGUUGGGUUAAGUCCCGCAACGAGCGCAACCCUACUUUAGUUGCCACCAUAUGGGACUUUAAAGAACUGCCAGUGAUAACUGGAGGAAGGUGGGGAUGACGUCAAGUCCUCAUGGCCCUUAUGGUGGGCUACACACGUGCUACAAUGGCUUACAUGGGGCAAUGCAAGUCUAGCAAUCCCUAAAUGACCUCANUUCGGAUUGUACUCUGUAACUCGAGUGCAUGAAGCUGGAAUUGCUAGUAAUCGCGAUCANCGCGCGCGGUGAAUACGUUCCCGGGUCUUGUACACACCGCCCGUCACACCAUGGAAGUUGGUAACCUAA
This 395-nucleotide ribosomal RNA is filed under the name uncultured bacterium. RNAcentral's name for it is "bacterial SSU rRNA". It matches the Rfam family "Bacterial small subunit ribosomal RNA", at positions 971 to 1422 of the family's 1533-position model. The record is from RNAcentral.